AAACAUUUAUCGAUGUCGCGAAAAAUUUGAAGGACAUGACUAAUAGUGAAGUGUUUAGGUUGAGCUAAAUAUUUUUUACCAAAAUUACAAGUAUAGCCCAUAUUUUGAGCAGAAAAAAGCUCGUAUUAUUGUACAUAGCAGUGAAUAAAAAGUAGCUUGCACAAAUGAGGAUGACAUCUCCAACGAAAAUUAUGCUUAUAGCAUGUGGUUCGUUCAGCCCUCCAACGCCGAUGCAUUUUCGGAUGUUUGAAAUCGCUCGGGAUCAUUUUGAGCAGAUGGGAACAGCUCAUGUAGUUGGCGGAGUCAUUUCCCCGGUACAUGAUUCUUACGGUAAAAAUGGACUAGUUACUGCAACGCACCGUUGCACUAUGAUCAAGAUUGGACUGCAAUCGUCAGAUUGGAUCCGGCUGUCGGAAUGGGAAACACAACAAGAAGAAUGGACUAGGACACGACUUACCUUGCAGUAUCAUCAGAACUUUGUAAAUUCAUAUCUGAAAGACUCGAAUAAUAGAAAUGAUCAACAUAUUCCAUCAUGGAUCCCAGAAGGGUUAAAAAAGACUGCUGGACAUGUCCAGAUGAAGCUACUUUGUGGGGCGGAUUUGCUUGAAUCCUUUGCUACGCCUGGUCUGUGGAAAGACGAAGACAUAGAAGCGAUCGUUGGUCAACAUGGAAUAGUGGUUGUAUCUCGUGCCGGAGCAAAUGCGGAGCAGUUUAUUUUUAAUUCUGAUUUACUGAGCAGAUACAGGAGAAACAUUACAAUCGUCACGAACUGGAUUACAAACGACGUCAGUUCAACACUAGUGCGCCGUUUGCUCAAUCGAGGAUUGUCAGUCAAAUAUUUACUGGAUGAUUAUUUGAUUGAAUACAUAAAAAAGAAUGGCUUGUAUGGCACCAAUGAUACUAAGUACAUUUUGCCUGUUAGUACGAGCGGGGAAAUGAUGAGCAUAUCGCCUGUCUCUCCCAUCAACGAUAAUGACGAUUAUGUUGAGAGUCGAAACGAGUUAAACACGUUUAGCACAUUGGAAUCGAUGGAUGACACUGAUUUUCCGCAAAAUACUUUGAAUCGUGUUUUCUGUUGUGGAACGGAAAACAAUGCAAAAACAGCAACCAGAAAUGCGAGAGGAUUUCUGACCCACCCUGGAAGUGCUGUUCAGAUAAUAACAACAACGACAACAUCAGCAGCUACUUCUAAUGCAUCAUCAGUUGUGUCUGAUUCGGGAGUAGGUUCCAUCGCUCAUCACACAGCAGAUGGCAAGGUAUGUGACAACAAAAGUACAAUACCAACAAGCACAAAGAAAUACGAAACUUGCACUAAAGGUAACACUACGGCACAAGAUGCACAAAGCGAUCUCAAUUUACACAACAGCACAGGCAAAAGCACGCUAGAAGAUUCUAAAAAACCUAAGGAUUUGAAGCUUUGUGUUACCGAACUGGAAAUUCCUCGUAUUCAAAGUAACGCAUCAAUCACCACUGCUGCUUCAAAUGAAACGAAUAUUCACGUAGAAUCAAGCAAAGACAGGAAUCGUGGUACAUCCGCUGGACGCAUUAGUCCCGCGAAAAGCUACGACGAUAUGAUAAAAUUUGUCUUUACGGAGCAUGGCAUUCGAGUUAUCAGCGAUCGCGAAUAUGUGGUUUAAACGCAUUUCGAACUUUGCUCGUCAAGGAUCACUCAUGUUCAAUUCUAGCGUACAAACUAUUUGGUCGUCCCCAAGAAGCUGAAACUUUCUGCGGUGCAAGUCUAAUGGAAUUAAAUAUGUAGUCGAGUGUACUGCCUACGAAUCAGCAACGAUAUUAAAAUAAUGGUAAAAAUAGGAACGGUGAUAAACCGUUAACACUCAUCUCGUUACAUUGAAUACCGGUGUGGCUAACAAUAUACCGAAGAGAAGAUUGGUGUAGAACUGAUUGGUUUGCAAUUUUUAACUCAAGUAAAAAUACAACUGUAGCAACAUUGUAUCUUUUAAUCUUGCAUGAAACGGGGAACCUAUAAACCUUUGCUUCUAAAACAUGAUGUUUGUAAUUUAUUUUUUCUUUCUGUCUUCUAUGUAGGAGAGUAGCUAAAUUAAUGUUGACUGUUAUUUAUUUGUUAUUUUACGAAGCCGUUUAGCAAAGAGUCUCAAUUUUGCGUGGGCACUUAAUUUCGUUCAUUGUGAUACAUUUAGGUACUGGAAAAUGCUAUUUUUCCUCAAAAAAUACUGAAUUUGCGAACGAAUUUAGGAACCUACGUGAAAUCGCCCCGCUUUUCGGUAUGAAGCAAACUAUUGUGCAGUGUGGCUGCGCAAUUUUUGUUUGGACUCUGCUCAAAUAAUUAAUUGUAUAAUCUUGUAGAACAUACAUAAAUUGGUAAAAAAUAGACAAA
RNA transcript from Ochlerotatus camptorhynchus, 2356 nucleotides. It is a transcript of the gene named nicotinamide/nicotinic acid mononucleotide adenylyltransferase 1-like, with no coding region annotated. The transcript is spliced from 6 exons. NCBI's taxonomy places the organism in Eukaryota, Metazoa, Arthropoda, Insecta, Diptera, Culicidae. The record is from RefSeq and is a predicted model, not a curated record.